CUAUUGGAAACGAUAGCUAAUACCGCAUAAAAUUGAUUAUCGCAUGAUAAUCAAUUGAAAGGUGCAAAUGCAUCACUACCAGAUGGACCUGCGUUGUAUUAGCUAGUUGGUGGGGUAACGGCUCACCAAGGCGACGAUACAUAGCCGACCUGAGAGGGUGAUCGGCCACACUGGGACUGAGACACGGCCCAGACUCCUACGGGAGGCAGCAGCG
RNAcentral lists this ribosomal RNA (214 nucleotides) under uncultured Streptococcus sp. RNAcentral's name for it is "partial 16S ribosomal RNA". It matches the Rfam family "Bacterial small subunit ribosomal RNA", at positions 147 to 356 of the family's 1533-position model. Lineage: Bacteria; Bacillati; Bacillota; Bacilli; Lactobacillales; Streptococcaceae. The record is from RNAcentral.